This 301-nucleotide ribosomal RNA is filed under the name uncultured bacterium. RNAcentral's name for it is "partial 16S ribosomal RNA". It matches the Rfam family "Bacterial small subunit ribosomal RNA", at positions 509 to 807 of the family's 1533-position model. The record is from RNAcentral.
CAGUAGCCGCGGUAAAACGAACCGUGCGAACGUUAUUCGGAAUCACUGGGCUUAAAGCGCGUGUAGGCGGGAGGGCACGUCCGUCGCUGAAAUCCCCCGGCUCAACCGGGGAACGGGCGCGGAUACGACUCUUCUGGAGGAACGUAGGGGGACCUGGAACUUCCGGUGGAGCGGUGAAAUGCGUUGAGAUCGGAAGGAACGCCCGUGGCGAAAGCGAGGUCCUGGACGUUUACUGACGCUGAGACGCGAAAGCCAGGGGAGCGAACGGGAUUAGAUACCCCCGUAGUCCCUGUCUCUUAUU